GAUGAACGCUGACAGAAUGCUUAACACAUGCAAGUCUUUGGCGAAGCUGUGCUUGCACAGCCUAGCCAAGGCGGACGGGUGAGUAACGCGUAAGGAACUUGCCCUGCAGUCAGGGAUAACAGACGGAAACGACUGAUAAGACCUGGUAAAGUCAGGCGGACUCAUGUCCAGCCUGAUGAAAAGAGAUGCUGCAGGAGAGCCUUGCGUCCUAUUAGCUUGUUGGUGGGGUAACGGCCCACCAAGGCGAUGAUAGGUAGCCGGCCUGAGAGGGUGGACGGCCACAAGGGGACUGAGAUACGGCCCUUACUCCUACGGGAGGCAGCAGUGGGGAAUAUUGGAAAAUGGGGGCAACCCUGAUCCAGCAAUUCUGUGUGCACGAUGAAGGUUUUCGGAGUGUAAAGUGCUUUCAGCAGGGAAGAAAAAAAUGACGGUACCUGCAGAAGAAGCGACGGCUAAAUACGUG
RNAcentral lists this ribosomal RNA (463 nucleotides) under uncultured bacterium. RNAcentral's name for it is "partial 16S ribosomal RNA". It matches the Rfam family "Bacterial small subunit ribosomal RNA", at positions 28 to 507 of the family's 1533-position model. The record is from RNAcentral.